Molecule: transfer RNA, 202 nt
Filed under: Marmota monax (woodchuck)
Lineage: Eukaryota; Metazoa; Chordata; Mammalia; Rodentia; Sciuridae
Description: tRNA.Ala
Source: RNAcentral
GCUGUUGCUCAGUGGUAGAGCGCUUGCCUAGCAUGUGUGAGGCACUGUAUUCAAUAUCCAGCACCACAUUAAAAAUCAAUCAAUCAAUCAAUCAAUCAAUAAAGGUGUUAUUAAAAAAAAAAAAUACACUGAGCUGUGGAGUUAAGUGGUAGAGUGCUUGCCUGGCAUGCACAAGGGCUUGGAUUCAAUCCCCAGCACUGCA